GGAGAUAGUGAUUUGUAGUGGGAUGGCAAAGAAAGAUAGAAUUAUGAAAGAAGAGAGAGGCAGUUGAGUUGGGGAUGGAAACUAAUAAUUGCAAAGCGAGUGAAGAGCAUGCUGCCAUGCACGAGUGAAGCAGAGACUGGGUUUUUGGCAGAGAGAGAAGCCAGAGAGACUGGCGAAAAUUAUAUCAUUGAAUUACUAUAUCUGAUUAAACUCAUGAAAAUCCGCAGUCACAGGCUUUUGAUCAGAACCCUUAAAACCCUCUACAACAACAUUGACUUAAGCUGAGCCUCUGUGUGUGAAUGAAUCUCAGACACACACACAUGCACAAGAAACAAGUACGUUUCUGGUGUAAAGAGGGGACAUUAAUUUUGAGCUAACUAAUGGUUAAUGGGGGGAUAAAAGAAAGGUAGUACAAGAAAACAAAAAAAAGAAAAGAAAAUAUGGGAGGUAGUAAUUUCCAAUCUUUCAAUAAAGCUAGCAAAAGAAAAAAGUGUGUUGAAACAUCAAACAUGGAUUUCUAAAUCUCGAAGUCAAAUGCCGGGAACCCAGACGCCAACCAUGACCUCUAAACCUCUUACCUGAGUUUGCUUAACCUAGACACAGAUCCUGAGCACCGAACCCCAAAACUAAGCUGCUAAAGGCACCAUAUCUAGGAUGUAUGUUUGUGAAAAGGCCUAGACCUAAAACCUCGACUCUAGCCUUUGGUGAAUUGCAGUGGAAGCUCAAUAAUUAACAAUAAUUGGAAUUAUAUAAACUAUAUUAUGAAGUGGACACCAAAAAAUAAUAACUGUCAUGAUCUUAAAUCACAUACCAAUUUAUACUGGAAUACUAAUUCUUUCCAUUUGUGUAAUAUCUGCUUAACAUUUUGUAAGGACCACUUUUUACAGAAUCC
Molecule: long non-coding RNA, 892 nt
Filed under: Prunus persica (peach)
Lineage: Eukaryota; Viridiplantae; Streptophyta; Magnoliopsida; Rosales; Rosaceae
Description: long non-coding RNA (PPER_LNC007309)
Source: RNAcentral